Molecule: ribosomal RNA, 461 nt
Filed under: uncultured bacterium
Lineage: Bacteria
Description: bacterial SSU rRNA
Rfam family: Bacterial small subunit ribosomal RNA
Source: RNAcentral
CUACGGGAGGCAGCAGUGAGGAAUAUUGGACAAUGGAGGCAACUCUGAUCCAGCCAUGCCGCGUGCAGGAAGACUGCCCUAUGGGUUGUAAACUGCUUUUAUACGGGAAGAACCACACCUACGUGUAGGUGCUUGACGGUACCGUAUGAAUAAGGAUCGGCUAACUCCGUGCCAGCAGCCGCGGUAAUACGGAGGAUCCAAGCGUUAUCCGGAAUCAUUGGGUUUAAAGGGUCCGUAGGCGGGACAAUAAGUCAGUGGUGAAAGUCUGCCGCUUAACGGUAGAAUUGCCAUUGAUACUGUUGUUCUUGAAUUAGUAUGAAGUGGUUGGAAUGAGUAGUGUAGCGGUGAAAUGCAUAGAUAUUACUCAGAACACCUAUUGCGAAGGCAGAUCACUAAUACUAUAUUGACGCUGAUGGACGAAAGCGUAGGUAGCGAACAGGAUUAGAUACCCGUGUAGUCCA